GAUGAACGCUGGCGGCGUGCCUAAUACAUGCAAGUCGAGCGAACGGACGAGAAGCUUGCUUUUCUGAUGUUAGCGGCGGACGGGUGAGUAACACGUGGAUAACCUACCUAUAAGACUUGGAUAACUUCGGGAAACCGGAGCUAAUACCGGAUAAUAUUUUGAACCGCAUGGUUCAAAAGUGAAAGACGGUCUUGCUGUCACUUAUAGAUGGAUCCGCGCUGCAUUAGCUAGUUGGUAAGGUAACGGCUUACCAAGGCAACGAUGCAUAGCCGACCUGAGAGGGUGAUCGGCCACACUGGAACUGAGACACUGUCCAGACUCCUACGGGAGGCAGCAGUAGGGAAUCUUCCGCAAUGGGCGAAAGCCUGACGGAGCAACGCCGCGUGAGUGAUGAAGGUCUUCGGAUCGUAAAACUCUGUUAUUAGGGAAGAACAUAUGUGUAAGUAACUGUGCACAUCUUGACGGUACCUAAUCAGAAAGCCACGGCUAACUACGUG
RNAcentral lists this ribosomal RNA (497 nucleotides) under uncultured bacterium. RNAcentral describes it as "partial 16S ribosomal RNA". It matches the Rfam family "Bacterial small subunit ribosomal RNA", at positions 28 to 507 of the family's 1533-position model. The record is from RNAcentral.